UCUCAACUAACCUCAACUCUAGCAUCUCAAACCUCUCAUUCCAACAGGACUGGCGCCCAGAGAGCAAAGCUCAACCAGGGACCUUACCUCCAGUCCGGUCACUUAACUCUCAGCCUUAGCCUUUCGGCUCUCUUAUCCAAUAAGACUGGCGCCCAGAGAGCAUAGCUCGACCAGGGACCUUACCUCCAGUCUGGUCACUUAAAUUUCCAAAUAAGCCGGCGCCCAGAGAGCAAUGCUCGACCAGGUACCUUUACUCCGGCAACCACACUCUACUAAGCCC
RNAcentral lists this long non-coding RNA (280 nucleotides) under Ricinus communis (castor bean). RNAcentral describes it as "long non-coding RNA (RCOM_LNC003379)". Lineage: Eukaryota; Viridiplantae; Streptophyta; Magnoliopsida; Malpighiales; Euphorbiaceae. The record is from RNAcentral.